GUGCACCAGUCGCGAAUCUUCCACAAUGGGGGAAACCCUGAUGGAGCGACGCCGCGUGCGGGAUGAAGGCCCUAUGGGUUGUAAACCGCUGUUCAGUGGAAAGAACAUCCUCCGGCUGAAUAGGUCGGAGGCCUGACGUUACCACUGCAGAAAGUCCCGGCCAACUCCGUGCCAGCAGCCGCGGUAAUACGGGGGGGACGAGCGUUGUCCGGAUUUUACAGGCGUAAAGGGCUAGUAGGCGACUAAUUAAGUUAUAUGUUAAAAUCCCACGGGCUCAACUGUGGUCCUGCAUGUAAUACUGGUUAGAUAGAGUACUGUAGAGGAAGGCAGAAUUCCUGGAGUAGCGGUGGAAUGCGCAGAUAUCAGGAAGAAUACCAAAAAGCAAGGCAGCCUUCUGGGCAGUUACUGACGCUGAAUAGCGAAGGUGUGGGUAGCGAACAGGAUUAGAUACCCGGGUA
Molecule: ribosomal RNA, 458 nt
Filed under: uncultured microorganism
Description: bacterial SSU rRNA
Rfam family: Bacterial small subunit ribosomal RNA
Source: RNAcentral